This 450-nucleotide ribosomal RNA is filed under the name uncultured Bacteroidota bacterium. RNAcentral describes it as "bacterial SSU rRNA". It matches the Rfam family "Bacterial small subunit ribosomal RNA", at positions 52 to 496 of the family's 1533-position model. The record is from RNAcentral. Lineage: Bacteria; Pseudomonadati; Bacteroidota.
CACAUGCAAGUCGAACGGUAACUUUUGGUGCUUGCACUGAAAGACGAGUGGCGGACGGGUGCGUAACGCGUAUGCAAUCUACCUUUUACUAGGGUAUAGCCCAGAGAAAUUUGGAUUAAUCCCCUAUAAUAUCAAAAUUCCGCAUGGUUUUUUGAUUAAAGCUUCGGUGGUAAAAGAUGAGCAUGCGUCCUAUUAGUUUGUAGGUGAGGUAACGGCUCACCUAGACUACGAUAGGUAGGGGCCCUGAGAGGGGGAUCCCCCACACUGGUACUGAGACACGGACCAGACUCCUACGGGAGGCAGCAGUGAGGAAUAUUGGACAAUGGACGAAAGUCUGAUCCAGCUAUGCCGCGUGCAGGAUGACAGCCCUACGGGUUGUAAACUGCUUUUAUACAGGAAGAAAAAUCCCGACGUGUCGGGGCUUGACGGUACUGUAAGAAUAAGGAUCGG